RNAcentral lists this long non-coding RNA (18371 nucleotides) under Gallus gallus (chicken). The record is from RNAcentral. Lineage: Eukaryota; Metazoa; Chordata; Aves; Galliformes; Phasianidae.
AAAAAGACCAAAGUAAGGCAGAAACGAAACAAACCAAACCGGAUCCGCACGCUGCGGAGCGGCGGGCGCCGCGCGUUGCUCGGCCCGGCGGAACACAUCCAACCGGUCGGGCCGCGCCGGGCGCACUUACUUGUCCGUCUCUUGUGACAUGUUUGCUCCAAUGAACUCGCUCCCCUUUCCCGGCGCUCGGUCUCCCCGGUGGAACUGGACUUUCAGGUCUGUGCAGGUGAAGGUGCGCGCGAACGCCCGGCGCGGCAGAACCAGAGCUACAGGUAAUUCUGCUUGCCGUGCCCCCCUGGCCCCGCUCCGCCGCCGGGGCAGCGCAGCGCCGCGCAGGUACGGCCCCAGCCCCCUCCCCCUCGCAUGUGGGGAGCGGCGCGGAGAGCGGCCGGGCCGGGCGCGCGCAGGUAACUUUCCGAGCGGCGUCGGAUUCUUUCACUAAAGGAGCGGGGCAGAGGGCCGAGCCGCGCGCUGAUUGGGCGGGGCGGGCGGCAGGUGCGCUGCCAUUGGAAGAGGCGCGCAGGUACGGCGCCGCCGAGCUCCAGGUAACGCGCCGCGCCGCGUCGGGAGGCACCGCGGGGCCGCCGCCGAGCGAAGGGAGAGAGCGAGGGGGGGGCCGGCGCCGCGCUGGCGCUCAGGUGGCGGCCCCCCGGCAGGCGGCACGGCCGAGGCCGAGGGGAGGCCUCGCGGGCGGCCGGGCGUGACGGGGCGGCGGGACGCGGGCAGGUGGCGGCCGCUCGGUGGCUGCCGACGGGCGGCCCCGCGGGGGCUGCGGCCUUCGGGGAGCAGUUGGCGGCCGGGCUCCUCGUGGGACGCGGGGUUUGGGGUUGGUUCGGAGGGGUUUGGUUGCUGUUUGGCUUUUUCCGACGGUUCCGUCUCGGCCGGGAGCGGCUGGGCUUGGCGGUGCCGCUCCCGUUGCUGCGCGGUCUGAGCGCGGGCGGUCGAGUCGCGGCUGCCGGCGGCGGCUGCCCCGGCGCCCUCACAGCGCUCCUCACAGCGCGGAGCUGCGUCACGCGGCGGAGGGGCCCUCAGCCCGCUGCACCCCCGGGCGCUGCGCCAGCGCCUCAGUGCCGUCCGGAAGGACGGGAUGGAGCUCUGGGGGCAGCAGCUGUCAUCCGAUGGUGGGGAAGGUGUAGGAAAAGGGCUCCUCAGGUCAACUCGGAAGCCGGAGAAGAAAGGAAAACGCCUGCGCUCGGUCCGCGUUCCCCCGGCGGAGCGGGUCGGCACCUCGCCGCUCCUCGCUGCUGCCACAUGUACAGCUCCUCACCUCGAGACGUCUUCCCGGGCGUCUGGCUUCGCCUCUGCCUCACAGACAGCGCUGCGUGUGGCGUAAAUAGGCCGUUGUAUUGCACGGUGACCUUUGCAGGAAAGUUAAGUUAGCUGAAGGCAUUUAUACGGUCCCGGGAGAAGGAUUCUUCUACCUUUGAUUUCGGCUGAUGAGGACAUGGCAGAAAGGUGUUCACAAAAAUAAGCAUCCGUAUAACCAAGCGUGAGGGCUGCUCCAAAAGUAAUGCCUCCUGUUUUUGAUUCUGUGAUUCUGUUUUGUUUUGUUGGCCCACAGCAUCCGAGGUGGAUGUUGUUGGUAUGGCAGUGGAGGCUGAACCUUCCCACCAACAUCAGUUACGUGAUGUUGCCGUGUGACGGAUGGCAGCAGAGGGGCAGUCUGACAAAGUGGCAUCCGACAUGGGAGUCCAUAUGAAGCAAAGGUGUGGAAUUAAAUUCCUCCAUGCGGAAAAAAUGGCACCCGCUGACAUUCAUUGAUGCUUGCUGAACAUUUAUGGAGGCAAUCAAUGGAUGUAAGCACAGGGAGGCGGUGGGUGGGUGCAACAGAUGUAAGCCACAUUCUGGAUGUCCAUGCACAGCUGUACACCACAAAGUGAAGAGAGUCUCAACCAGCUCACCUACGUGAAUCAGCUGAUGGUGAUAGCUGUGUUGAAAAAUAGUGUUUUGUAGCUGAAUUUUGCUCUAUCAUAACACAAAUUGUGUUAUCAUUCUCUGUUGUAGUUUCCAUGGAAAUAAAUAGGAAGCAUUACCUUCAGAGCAACCUCUGAAUGUAUGUGUAUGUGGCUGUAACCGCAUAGAAUUGCAAUCCUCUUUCAGUGCAGUGGAAAUCAAGGUUGGUGCGUGGAAGUCUUUGAUAUUACUGGAUCACAGUCAGGCACAAAUGAUUGUUACUAUCUCUCAGCCCUUACCUAUAUUCAUAGUAACUAACCAGAUAGAGCCAAAUCAAUAUAGCUCUGUUUUAAGUCAGCUCAAGUGUAGUCCCAAGAAGAUCACAGAAUCACAGAAUGUCAGGGAUUGGAAGGGACCUCAAAAGAUCAUGUAGUCCAGUCCCUCUGCCGGAUCCCCCGUUAUGUUUUUAGAAUUAGAAAUUUAGUUUAGCUAGGUUAAUGACACUUGGACUGAGCACAGAGUAUUACGUAGCCUUCCUUUGUUUUCAGUCGCAGGAAAGAAGAAUCAUUAUGCAAUCAGUAAAUCCCAUCGAAAGCUGCUGAUGUGGCCUGAAUUGUGGAUAGCAAAUACUGGUAUUGAACUUCUCAGUCUGUAGGCCGUUAUGAAUAACAAUGCCUGGAUAAGUCAGUCUGUAGAACACAUUUUGAGGAAGCAAUAAGACUUUGUAAAACAAAGAAGAGAAGCUGAGUAAUUUAUUCACUACAAAUACUUCAGUUGUUUUGUAUAAAAAAUUACUAUGUCAUCUUGAGACAAGUAGAGCCUCCCAGGCACACUACUGUGAGAUGUUGUGAGCUGUUCUGGAGGAAUAAUGGGAAUCCUAUCACGGUUUAAGUUAAUGAAACCUUACUGCUAACUGCAGAAAUGAUAAGAUUUCAUUCACAAAUAUUGAUAUUAUGUUGAAAGAAGCUUUUGAGACCUGAAAAGGCUACCUAAUUGAGUGCUGUAAAUAGGAUUAACCUCAAUUCAGGUAUCCUCUUUCCCUUUUUACUUUUUUCAGAUUAUGGGGAACAUUUGGAUGUGUGGCUUUCACUUUUUUUUUUCCCUCCCUUCUCUAUGAAAUGUAUAGGAGGAAGGAAAGGAAGAUGAACGUUUUUGAAAAUGCCACCUUCCCCAAGUUAGCAAUGCUGCUCAUGUAUGAUUUUGCAGGGAAGAAAACAGCAUCUGAUGCCAUCUGCAGUCCUGGACCAAGCCCAAACUGUAACUCAGACUGAAAUGGAAUUUGUUGUUCUAGUACUGGGUCAGCUACAAAACCGCCUUUAGCAGCCUGCUCUCGGGAGAGAUUGCUUCCAGUGAAGCAGCUGGGAGACUGAAUUACUGCUCGGUGGCUGCAGAAGUGUUCAAGGUCAAAGUUAAGAACAGAAGUGAGAAAUGCGGUAAUGAACUCUUGAUUUGAGUUUGUUGAAGAUGACAGCUUAUUGCUUAGGUGAACAAAUAUACCCUGAAAAUUAUUUUAAGCAGAUAGUAGGGAUUGGGCUCAUCGUUUUCUGGAUGAGCAUUUUGUUCCAGGCUGCAAACUGGAAUUCAAUUGUGAGCGUCCAGCCUAGCAGGUCAAACAGGUCCUGCCUCAUCCAGCCCGCUGCUCAUUCUUCAUGAGCUCCAGGAUUGUUAUAAACUAAUCUGUUAGUCACUGAAAAAAUCAUCUAAUGUUAUUUCAGGCCAGACCAGUCUUGCUUCUCAUUGAAUAAAGGCUGUGUAGGGCAAAAAUAAAAUGGUCAUGCAAUACAUUAUUAUAAAUCUAGGAGUUGUCUUUGGAGCUUACAGGAACAAUCUACAAUAGCAGAUCACUUUCGUGCUGUUUGCUUCUUUGCAAACCAGCUUCUCAACCUGGUAGGGUGUUUCUUUUUCUUGCUUGUUGUUGUAAGGAGUCAGUGUAGAAUUCAACUGUCUAACGCUUUACCUUGUGUUUACAUGAUGUGUUCCAUAGCAGCCAGCAUCAGCGCUGUUUGGACUUGCCAGCACUGGGCAGAGGAAGUAGGGUGCACAAACAAGGUUCAGCUCAGCUUACUAAUUGCAGUAAGUACCUAAAAUAUCUUUCAGAAAACUAUUAAAAGAAGUCUGUGCGAUAAAAGAUGUUAGAGAGGUAUUUAUGUCAAAACAGCGUUGUGAGGCAGCUCAGUGAGAGCACAGAUGUUUGGAAACAAGUGUUUGCAGUAGGCAGUGAUUACCACGUAUUUUUAUUUGUGUGUUUCUGUGUCAUUGAUGGCUGUUGAUAUAAAAUGCUCUCUUGCAGUAAGUUCAAAGCCAACCACCUACCUACUAAUUUUGUGAUGCAUUUACUGUUAAUCCUCCCCAUAGCCUUCCCUUUGUAGUUAUCUUCUAUAUGAAACUAUAUUUACUGGAAUUUGUACAGACCUUGAUCUUCAACUGACUUCAACGACGCCGUCACGUACAUCAAAAUAAAUAGAUCUUAGUGCAGCUCUCCUAUACUCCAAAUGGAUCGUUUGUGUGUUCUAAUAAUAGAUUAUGCUACACUAUUAACAUGUAAGGUAAAGAAAGUAAUCCUAAGUAACCAAGAUUGUAACAACGGGUUACUUGUAUUGUUUCACAAUGAAACAAUAUGAAAGUGCUAUCAGAAUGCUGUGACUAGUGACAAGUAUCUGCUGCCUGGAACCUGCCAGUUGCGCUUCCCAGAUAGCGCAGCUGGGAUCUCAGUAAGAACCUGGAGCUCUCCGAUGCCUCCACAUCAUGCGUGGCAACAGCAGCUGAACAGCACAGAGGACCAUGGAAUAUGAGGCUCUGGGCAGCCUGGUCUAGUGGUUGGCGACCUUGCCGUGGCAGGGGGGGUUGAAACUAGCUAAUCUUUGAGGUCCUUUUCAACCCAGGCCAUUCUGUGAUUCUGUGAUGGAGUGCUUCCCGGCCCCAGGGCAGGGCAUGGGGCUGCAUGUGCCACCUUUAUCUGAAAUGCUGAUCUGCAUGUCUUAUAGAGUCCUCAGAGCAACUGGAACCAUGUAAGAAGAAAAGGAGGGGCUUUGUUUGCUCAUUAUGAGCGUAGAGUUCAUGAUUCUGAAAGAUGUCAGCGUUACAAUGUAAACAUAUCUGCAACACUUGUCUUAGGCAGUAUGGCACGCAGAACCCUGUUUCAGCUUAGAACAGAAAUCAUUUUUAGUGGUGAAAAUGGGUCAGAGUGUGGCAGUCCUCUCUGGGCUGGGACAUGGAGACGUCUGAGGAAGCAUCCUAAGUCUGACAGUAGAUUGGAAUAUUAGCUUCUUGAUUAGUAGUACCCAUCCAUUUCAUAAAGAUUACUCAUUGCUUUGAAACCAAUUCAACAGAAUGUAAUACGCAGGGAUAACUUUUCUGCAGAUGCUUUGAUCUCUGAUAGCAUUUUCCAGUGAUUCAGCCAAGCGUUUUGGGACAAGGGGAAACUAUGGUUAGGUCACCUAAUGGCUGACCUAAUGGCAGGAGAAACUCUGCCUGAAGAAGAAUAAGAAAACAUCUCUGGAAGACAGCUUGAUGUGCUGUGGGACCUGGGACUCGGAAAUACCUUAAUUAGGCUGAAACUGAUACUGUGUCAUGGUGGGGUAGAGGAGUGGGACCUAAAUAACCUGACCUCUGAGAAGAAUAUCCAGUGCAUCGUUAGGAUGCUUUGUCUGACUUCUUGUGGUACUCAGCAGAACCUCUGCAUCAUCACAGAACAAAUCUGCGGCUUCACAGGCACAUCUUGAGUAAUCCUGACUGAGUUGUUUGGGGAGAAAGCUGAAAUGCUUGUAGUUUGUCCACGUUGUGAAGAGCUCCUGAGGAAUGUCGGAAGAAAACUGUCCUAAUGGCUGUCUGUUGUGGGGUUGGUUUUGUUUUUUGGUUGGUUGUCAGCAGUAGUACUUUGAAAACCAUCUUUCUUUUCAUAAAUAAAAGCUUCUUUUUCUGUUUUUCAGUGACCCAGUUGAACAAACAAUUGGAUGGAUGGCUGCUCCUAGCUGAAGGGCUCUCACAGGGGAGCAGGAAUGGCACUCUGCAUUGGCUGCUGGGGCUUCUGCUCCCAGCCCUCAUCGGUCCGUUCUUGAAUCAUUAUGAUUUGCAGAGCAUCAUUUGAAAGGAAUCUGAAAUAGGUUUUCACACGUUGAUCACAUCCCCGAGAGCUUCGUAUGUCUCUGCAUCAGUUGGGUGUUUUUAAAAAACACAGAAGCUCCACAGGUCUGUCACCCCACCCUGCAAUAAGAGCAGUCGAAAGCCAAUGAAGAGUGCAUCUCUUCUUGCUGUAACGGUACUGUCCUAAAAUAGGCCUUGGUGUUCCAGUGCGCAGAAGGUGAAGGAUGGCAUAUAAACAAUUGCUUGUUUACUUUUCCCACACUUGGGAACUGGAGUAAAUUCAGCUCAGAGAUUCCACAGAAACACUUCCGAAUGGGGAAAUAGGAGCUGGGAAACAAAGCUGUGGAUUUGCUUAGAAGCAACCCGUUUCUUCCUCAAAAUAAGUCGAUGCCUUAAUCAAGUAGUCAGGUGCUUAAGGAAUCACAGGGAAUGGAAGAGACAGCUUUCCAGGCUUGUUGAGAAGAGGGGGAGCUGAUUGCCCACAGGAUGCUGCUCAGUUGUGGCAGAAGACAAAGGGAAUGGGCUGGUGGCAGAAAAGAAACCCCUGCUGGAGCCAAGAGAUCUCUGCUGUGCCUUGUUCUAUGGAAGGGUCACUAGGCCGCUGUCUCUGUUGCUGCUAAAGCACCUUUACAGACAGGCAUAGGUCUUUCUGCUAUUUGCUGUUGUUCUCUUUUGAAAUGGAGCAGUUUUUCAGAAGAAAGCACUCCCACUGAUCUUGUUCAUAAAUAUAGAGGCGGUGUUGUGAGUACGUAGUGUUACUCCGUCAGGCUUCAGGGCAGUGUAGGCUCAGAGCUUGCCAACAUAAUCUUUGGCCUUCUCUGCUAUCUGGGUUUGGAGCUUCAGGAUCUCUCAGGCUAUGGCGUGGGGAAGACCCCAGUUGUAGAUCCCCUGCAGUCACUCCAUCAGCCUGCACUAUCAGGCGCAGCAUCUCAGCAAUACCAUGUUUGUACAGCGCACACGCCCUGCAUGCACCUACAAGCCUGCUUUAUCACUGCUAAGUCUCUGCUGUGAAAGUAGAUUUCUGCUGGUGGAACUGCCCUGCCAGGCAGGGAGGUGUGCUGACUGCUCUGUCCUGUCCUGUGCCGUUGUGCUGGGAGAGACAGACCGGGAAUCGGGCUCACAGAGCAUACAGGUCCCAAGUUCUUUUGUACCUCAUUUUGCUUUCACACUAUCACUGUUACCUGUGUGCAUUAUUACGCUGCCCAAUCCAGUAUUGAUCUUCAUAUUGUGUUUUAACAGAUUGGAGUUAGGAGCUUCUUCUGUCUCCUUUGCCUGUGUCCCGUGACUGUGGCAUAUGCUGCUUUUUAACCUUACCUUUGUUUCUCUGAGUCCCUUCUCAAAUAGGAUUUACAACAGCUGUGAUUUUUCCUUACAUUUUCUUUUCUUCACCUUUUUCCCAAGUGGAUGGAAAUCUUAGCUUCUUCCUAAGCAAGGUGAAAGUAUCCCGCAUGAAGAAGUUUUGUGUGGCUCCAGCCACAGAGAUGCUGAGUACUUGUUUCUCUCUAUUUGACUAGAAAACUACCUGGCGAUGGCUGUUUGUUUAUAUGGUGUGCUUGGGUGUGAGGGGCAAAGCAGGCAGAUUUACAUUUACAUUUCUGUACUGCUUUUUUCUUGAGCUCCCACACAUGAGCAAUUGCCCUGCAGGGUAGGGUGGGGGUGAGAUAUGUGUGUUGCUCUUUAUUUCGCUAUAAACUUCGCUCUGAUUACUAGGACUUCUCCAGGGAAGACGAGCCCUGCCUUACCAUUGCUGGGGGUAUAAAUCACUCCUAAUUAAUACCACAGUUAAGCUGCCUGGAGAGGAAGGCAAAACUCAUACGCUUUGGCUGUGUCAUUCCAGUAAACCUGUAUGAGAGGGAGGCCAGACUGACAGCCUGCAGGCUCUGUGCCCUGGGGCAGAGACACAGGUUGGUAUCAGGAUGAAGUUGCUCAAGCUUUGGUGAAGUUGCUCAAGUUUUGACCCAGAUCCCAGCUGUCCAGGACAAUUCCUGACCUGUGGAGCUCUUGAAGGAGGAGCACAAGGCAGACAUGAGGAGGUAGGUGCAGCACCUCUCCAUUUUGUAUGUGAGGUUUUUGAGCAACACACUUGCCAAAGGUUUUGUGGGGAAUCUGCAGAGCCAGGAAUUUAUUAACCCCAUGCCCAUCUCUCAGGCUGGUGCCAGAAGCAGACAGGUAGUUUGCUAAAUGCUUCAGCCCAACUCCUGGAAAGUAUGCCUGCAUUCCCACUGAAACCAGCAAGUUCCCCAGUUUAGAAUGCAUUUAUUUUUAAACUGUACAGGCAGAGCCUACAUGUUUUGACAAAGUAGCGCCAGAGCAUUGAGUGCCUUGGAGAUUCUUAGCCCUUACUGACUGCUCGCUGAAAGCACUGCCUCAGCCUCCUGUGGACUCCCAGACAGUGCCUGAGAGAGUGCGUGGUGCCUUUCUCAGCCUGGCCUUGCCCUUUUUAGCUUAAAUCAAUAGCAAAGAUGAAGAUAGAGUGCAAAGGGAAAGAAUUCAGAAUGAACAGUGCUCACUAAAUAGACAACCCACAUGUGAAAUGUAGGAUUUUAAAUGCAAAUGCCUUCAUCUUGUCUUAUCAGAGCUAAUUGGUUUAGCCCCUGUGCUACACAGGUUGAGUUUAAAUGCUGUACGGAUAACUCUGAGCUGACACCAGUAUUUACAUGCGACAACUGAUGAUGCAGUGUUGUAGUUGGCUUCCAGGAAAGAUCUUACCCCGGGCAGAACAGAGUCAAUCUCCACCAAGGUUGUACUUUCUCAUCAUUAUUUCUCUCCCGUGUGAAGUGUAGGCAGUGGGCACCGAGCUUGGCACCACAGCACAGUGGAGCAGGAAGUAAUGGGGAUUUCCCUGAUAGCCCCAAGGUCACAGUAGUGAGCAUGCAGCAACUUGGGAAAAAGCAGCACAUAGGAGAAUGUCAGAAGGUCCUGUCACCCUGGCUGUCCUGCAGCCUUGUUUGUAAGGUAAGGGAUGAGAACAUCUUGGUAACAUGCUUCAGCCCCCCUUCUUACAGUGAAGUUGAGGGGUUUUUCUGGGAGGUCUAACAGGUUGAAAGCAUUCCAGUUGCCACUGGUUGACUUAGCUCAGUGGAAGAAUAUGUGCCUGCCCAAAGGAGCUUUCUCCUUACCCUAAAUCAUGCAUUUCUUCCCUCUUCUGUCACAUCAGCAGACUUGCUCUUUCAACCUCCAGAGAACUGUUUUGUUUUUGCUUUCAAUAGGGUUAGUUUUCAGGCAAGUAAGUAGGCUGGUUUGACCCUGUAAAACUCCAUUCCCAAACUGUGGGAGUGAUGGAGACAACAAAAGCAAAGGGACAGGAGUUGUAGGGCAGACCCACCUCUUUUGGCAGUAACUCGGUUUUAGCUUUGAGUUUUAGUAAUUGUGAAAGUGCACGAAAAGCAGUCUUUUCUGUUUGGGAUGAAUGAAAGCCUUCCAGGUGUAAGCAUGGGGAAUUAAUUACAGCAUUCGCCCAGCCCAGUUCUUCUCCUGGAGUCUGACACGUGGCUGCCUCAUGUGAUGUCUCUUGGCACCGCAGAGACAUAGCAUCACCCACAGCUCUGGCAGCAGCUGCUGCUUUGAGCCUAUCAGCCUCCUCCACUGGCUGGAGUAGCAGUGAGUUUCUGCAGGUGCACGGCAUGCAUCGCCAUAGUCCCAGUGAAGCCACCGAGUGCGUGGAAGUCUAUGAAUGAGAGCAGCUAUCCAAUCAAGAAGGUAUUUUCUACACUGCAGGUUAAAUGGCCAUCCUUCCCUCAAGAGAUGUGUGCAUAAAAGACGUGGCUGGUUUUUACAGACAGUACUAUGAAGACGUCGGUCGUUUUGAGUUGCCCUUUGCACUGCAUCACUGUUCUGUGCUUUGGAAGUGGUUGCAGGGCUGGCUCAAGUUCUGUCGGCUGUGCCUGGGGUUAAAGCAGAUGCUUUGGCCCUCUGAACCCAGCCUGGCAAGAUGAGGGCAGGGAGGCAGGAUUUCCCCUCCGUUGUUUCUUUGAGUUCCAGAGCUUCCAACGAGGCUGGGAGAGGGGAAGGGUGACCAAGGAUAUCUGAGCAUCUUCUCUGUAAGCAAGGCCAAUUAUACACACGGCAAUUACCUCAGUGUAAACAGCCCAUCGUACCGAGAUGGGGAGAGCCUUUUGAGCCUGGGGAGGGUGCUUUGAAGUGCUUCUGCUCAGAGAGUGUCCAUUAAUGCGGGGAAUUGCACCGGCCGCAGCCCUCGGCUGCGUUAAGAGGAGUUGGGCGGCGGUGCCUAUUGAGCUGGGCGGGAUGGCUGUUAGGUGCCCUCGGUAUGACAAAGCGGUCGUUAACAUUCCAGCAGCGAUGGGGCAGUAGCCAGUAGCAACGCUUGCCUGCCUCGGCCAGCCCUGCUUGCUGCCGCUAGCGGUGCCAUAAGGGCACUUCUCUCCUGUACGUGCUAGAAUUCCACUUUCCUACCGGUAUCUGCACGAUUUCUCGCCAGUACUGUGGAAGAAUCCUAGCAAGUCACACCGAAGUUGAUAUAAAUUAUCUAUCUCUCAGCAGGGAGGAGGAUUAUGUCAAUUUCGGCUAAUAGCUGCCAAAUAAUAGACACACAGAUGCUCUUAAAUUGGUUUAAUUCCCGUUGGCUGGCCCUGACAAUUGGGAGCAAAGAUAAAUAUAUACAAAGCAUUCAAAGCUCGGGGUGUUAUGAUGCUAAUUGAAAAGUCACCAAAGGAAGCCCUCACGGUCUGUGGGAACCUCGGUGCACGGGAUUAGCGGCUAAUUAGCGGCUAGGAGCUGUCUCAUCCCGAGCACAGGCACCUCUGCCCAUGCAGUCAGUCCUUGCCCUUGAUACCAGCAAUAAAGAAACUGCUGUGGGCAGCAGGCAGUGUGAUGGUAGGAAGAUAACGUAGUAUUAGCAGUGUAACGAGUUCUCCCAUCAUGCACAGAAGCAAUGUCAGAAAUGCUUGCUGUGUCUUGGCCACAGCAAACAUAAAGGCAUUUGAGGCCUGAGCUCUUCCCCCCCCCCCCCCCCCUUUUUAACAAAUGCACAAGUCUUGUUAUGUGACUUUUUACCUCUUUCAUGUCAUGUUUGCAGCAGAGGACAGAACACAUUCUGGAGACCCCGAGCCUCAAACCCUGCUGUGGACUCUGCAGUGAGUGCACACAGGCAGUCGCAGCCCCUUCCUUGCACGGUGCUUUAGAAUCGUGACAUUUAAAAAACAUACAAUCCGUCUGUCAGCAUCCCAGUAUUUCCCUCUCAAGCUGUUCCCUGGUGGACAACUGAAGAAUCCGAGUUUUUCAAAUAACACACUUGUGUUAUGUGAACCCAAGGGCUCGGCCUGUGGAAAAAGAGAUUUGCAAAAUGGUACGAAUCAGUUGCAUCACUGGCACCGCUGAACUAAUCAGGGCUUUGUUUAAUGAGGGGUGCAUCUAUUUUGCUCAAUUACUUCCCGCUGGUGAGAAUCCUUCAUUUAUACUUUCAUUUGGGAAUGCUGGUUUUGGAACUCUCCGGAGUUACAUGUUUUCUUGUCCUCACAUUUGCUUUUUCAGAUCUGAAACAGCUGUAAACACAGCUUUAAACUGUUACACACCCUCACAAUUAAAUUAACCAGUAUUACACUUCACAAAGACACCAAGGAGCAAUAGCAGGGAGGUUCACUUGUGAGCUUUGGAGGAGCUAAAAAGCUUCUUUCCUGUGUUAACCAGCUCUGAGUAAUGCGGUUUUGCACAAGCUGGAGUCAGAAGUGGGUAAUGUGAGGAACCCAUGCUGGUAGGCAGUGACCUGCAGUGCGUGGGCUGGUGGCCUAAGUCAUCUCUUCUGGCAACCAGCAGAUGGGUGCUUGUAGCCUGGUUUCCUUAACCCUCCUGUUGACCAGCCCUCCAGACAGCUAACUCUCUUCUCCAGCUGCUGAGAAAUAGCUAAAUCAUAGAAUCAUUUAGGUUGGAAGAGACCACUGAGAUCAUCCAGUCCAACUGCCAACCCAUCCCCACCAUGCCCACUGACCAUGUCCUUCAGUGCCACAUCUCCACAGUUCUUCAACACUUUCAGGGACGGUGACUCCACCACCUCCCUGGGCAGCCUCUGCCAAUGCCUCACAACUCCUGAGAUGAAAUUUGUCUUUAGAUCCAAUUCCCCACCCCCCAGUACAACUUAAGGCCAUUACCUCUUGUUCUGUCACUAUUACAUGGGAGAAGAGGCCGACCCUCACAGUCAUCCACAGUGAGAGCUAACAAACAAAGAGGACCAUCCUUCAUAUAGCAGCUAUGUUGUAGAAGUGAUGAUCUGGGAAGAGGGUAGGGAAAAGUGAACAGACUUUUAGGCAUAGAAGUUCUUCUACAGAUCUGAAAGAAACCUCAGACUUCAAGCUAUUUUGCCCCCUCACAAAAUCCUGUAGAAAAAAGAGAUAACAGCCCCAUACAACCACCUCUGCUGUAGAUAAGCUGCCCAGCUGGCUGGGCAGCCCAAAGAACCCAGCUGCUCCAGGAGUCUUAAUAGCUUUUGUGGAGCAACAGAUUCCUGAAAUGAUGCUCACCGUUCAGUAUGUUUGUCAGAACUGGAAUGAGAUACACAGGAAUAAUAUUUUUCGGCCAAGGUAUUUCUAACUGGUUCUCGGUGGGUAUUAGUAAUAAUACAGCUGUCAGCUUUCGCAGUGUUUUUUAAGCAGAAGUGCUUUGUAUCUUUCAAGGUGUCUUCCCUUUUAUCUUAAGCAAAAUACCUGUGGGAACCAUUAGUAAUGGUUUCUGGUACUGCUGGACAAUAGUAGUGUGAAGAUACAGAGUGCAGCAACCCAUGCAGCAUAGGAACCCAGUGACAGGCUGGAAGGCACUCUGUGCCAGAGCGUGGCAAGGAGCGAGCAGCAGAUCAGACAGCUGCUUAAUCCCUCUGUGAGUUGAAAAGAGGGAGGAGACGCAAAUCAAGAAGAAGGAGAGGACCAUAGAGAAGAAACUGCAGAAGAAUUCCUGAUUUCUAUAGGAAUCUCUGCAUGACACACUGGGUCUGUGGGAGCCCAGAGCUCAGCUCAGCCCCUCAAAACCUGGUACCACAGCUGUAACUCUCAGGAUCUCUUCUGAGCAAAUCUCGUGCCAUUUAGGGAAGGUGCUGGGCUGAGCUGAAGCUGUGCAAGUACAGCUGUUCUCAUAUCAGCUAAGAAAAAGUAAAAAUCAGUUUAAAGCAUUAGACUGUUCCAAAAAAGCAGUGCUAAACCUCAUUCUAGAGCUACUGUUAAGUUGAAAUAUAUAUAUUUAAGUGCUCCUUCAAAUAAAGCCUAAAAACCCAUUUGCUUUUCCAGUGGUCUAAUGACUGCUUUUGCCAGGUUACUUCCAACAUAGAAUUCACCUACAGUCUAAGGCAAUGCCUGGGAGAUCCAAGCAUUCUGGUAUGACUGGGAUAAAGCUGAGGUGAGAGGCAGGUCAGAAUCGGGUGUACCAUGGAGGUAUCUGCAGCCUUUGUGGGGAAAGAUUACCAUCUUGGUGGGGAGAUCGUGUUUCUGUUAUUACCAGUAACAACUGGUUUCUACCAUUUACUCUCCCCUCUUUGUUGUCGGGUAGGCCCUGACAACUGAGGGACUCAAUGCAGCACGCAGGUGAGGCUGACGCUGGGCUCAGAAGUGCCGUCAGAUGGUGUCACGCAUGUGGGGAUGUGUGGUACCACGGCCCCGGUCGCAGAGAGCCUGCAGUCCGAGCCAGGAGCCUGCAAGAGGGCAGCACGGAAAAGCAGUGACACCUGUGCUGUUUUUAAUGGGAUUUGUAGCUGUGGGGUUUCGACAGAACCCACUUUUUCUUUCAGUGCAUUCUGACGUGGAAGAAUGUGAAAUGUAUUACCACAAGAGCAGGCUGCCUUGUGAGUGCUUCUGCGGAGCAAUGUCUUUUCUGCAGAGCUAGCCAUGGGGACUGAGCUUUAGCUGGGAGCAGCUUGGUCGGCGCCAUUUUCCCUCUGUGGCCUGUGCAGGAAGCUAACACCAGCCAACUUCGCACACUGUGGGACCGUAACAGGCCGCUGCCUGCGCCCGGGAGCGCAGACCCUCCUGCUGCACUCGGCAGAGCAAGUCUGAACUGGGUGCAUGGAGCAGGAAAUGCCAGUUCACAGCCCUCCCACGUGGCUCCAGGCUGCGUGCACAAUGACUUUUCCAGCCCCCCAGACUCUGUACACAUGAAUCCCUUCACCGUCCAGACGCCGUUUUGGGAUUGGCACAGCAUUCUGUGAUCUUGGAAGGCCGCUCAUGUGGUGUGGGAGCCAUCGCACACGCCUCUUGCAUUGGGUGCCUGCUGUGCUCCGCUGCAGGUGUUUCAUACUUGACAAGCAAGUCAUUGUGAGACUGGAGAAGCCACAUCCUUCUUCCUGGUCUCUGUAGUUCCACCUGCAGAGUUAGAGUAGUGUGUUCCAUCUUCCUAACCAAAGGAGACACAGAUGAAAGGGGCCUAAGUCAUCAUGUCAGCUGUGUUUGUGAGAGAAAGAGAGUAAAAGGCACCCAGGCACCGAGGCAAGAAGUGAACAGUGCCAUUCCCUUCCCUGCAUCUCCCAAUCUGCCCCAGACUUCCUCAGCUGGAGCUUGGAUCCACGACUCUACAUUUCAAACCUCUGAGUAAGUCAACACAUUUUGCCAAGUUGUCUGAUCACCAAUUGAACUCCUCAUCCACAGCAUUACGGUUCUUGUUUGUCUGCUUAUAUGUCUGCAGGAUGUGACAGGUACCUAGAAAAAUCACUUUGUCCCAGUGGCAUCCCUUGUUAAUGUCAAAGGGAGCUGCAUGGAGAGGCUGAGCUGUGGUCGGCACUGAACUCUGUGCUCCUCUGGUGUCUGGAAACGGGAAAUGUACUUGUAGGGAGACCAGACUCAGGGGCAGCCUUGUGAAAGAGUAUUUCUUCACCCUUCACUUUUUUAGGAGUGUGAACACAAGGAAUUUAAUCUUUUCAUUUGGUUACUGCUGCUCUCUGCUAUAUCAGCACAGCCGCCAGAACUGUUGUAAACAUUUGAAGAGUGGCGUCAAUUAAAGGUGACUCAGGAACAAAUGUGAUAUGAAGAAUUUGGAAAGGUUGGAAGAACAGCCAGUGUGCCAAAUGCUUUUCUAAAUGGACAACUAGAGGGAUGAAGAAGAGGAUGGUUUGGGAGUCACCCUUCCCACUUCAGCUGUGCGGUUAUGGUGACUACAUGUCCUAUUUGGAAGCACACACUGACUCGGAGGGUCAUCAUCCCACCAGUGCAUGAAGCUUGCAGUGAGUCAGCCCCUGUAUGUUACAAGGCAGGAUGGCUCCAGCUGCUAUUCAGGCUCUGUACAGUUUGACACUACUUCAGGGCGGAUAUGGGGACUCCAGAGAAUAUGGCAAGGGCUGUGUUGCUCACAGGUAACUGCCAGUAAGGAGCCCACCAGAUAAAGUGGAUCAGAGAUGGCAUCCAUAAUAGUCUCUCACCCCAGCAAAGCAUAUUCUAGAAGAGCGGUGUUGAAAAAGGACCAACUCAAAGAAAUUCACCACCACAGGUUAUUCCCAGGCAGCACUACCCUACGCGAGAAGUAACAAAACACAUGACCUUACUCUCUGUGAAGUGUUUGUGGAGCUUUUGUCACCAUAGCACCGAGUCACCAAAUACAGAAAGGUCCCUCCCGUGAUUCAUAACUGAACCCACAGUGGCUGCUGCUAUUUUCUGCAGUCCUUCUCACCCUGCCAGUGGAUGGCAGCUGAGUGGAGCAGUGCUGAGCACUCGCUGGCCUCUCUCUCUUCCCAGUGCCUUGCAAACAACUCCCAGUUCUCAGCAGCUUUUUGAGCUGUUCUGGGCACCUGAGGAGAGCAGGUGGUUCUGCGGUCAUUUCAUACAACCACAGGUCUGGUCAGAGUAAGGACACGAAGUGAUCUGCACUAUAGGACCUUGGGCAGAGUUGGCCAUCACCAGACUUCAGCUCUUUGUGAAGGAAUUUUCUGACAUAGUUAUCAGCCUGAGACUUACAGAUUAAGCAUUUUGUAGCCACUUCUGCUACGCGUGACAGUGACAAUAGAUAACAAUACAAUAUUUGUCCAAUCGGUUUUCAUAUUUUUGGACAUGAGCCGCGUUUUUUACCUUCCGAUGCUGGACUGCUCUGAGAUCCCAAUGUUAUUGGAGGUCUUUUCCAACCUUAAUGAUUCUGUGACUACAUUUUCCCACAUCACUAGUGAUAGGACAAGAAGGAAUGGCCUCAAGUUAUGCCAGGGGAGGUUCAGGUUGGAUAUUAGGAAAAAAUUAUUCUCUGAAAGAGUGGUCAGGCAUUGAAACGGGCUCCCGAGGGCGGUGGGGAAGUCACUGUCCUUGGAGUUGUUCAAGAAGCAUUUAGAUGUUGUACUAAGGGACGUUGCUUAGUGGAGAAAAUAUUGGUGGUAGGUGGACGGUUGGACUGGAUGAUCUUAGAGGUCUUUUCCAACCUUGGUGAUUCUGUGAUUACUGGAGGGGGAACAAGCUACCACGGACUGUAUCUGCAGGAGAAUCACUUCCUAGAUGUAAUCUGGACCGUGAAUGGCAUUUCAUUUGGCAGAACUAGAUAUUUUGGGUGGGACACGAAACUGGAGAAGUGGGAUGGCAGAAGUGGGUGUGUUAGUACAAAGUUGGUAGAGGUCUGGGAGCUCUUCAGCAGGAGGUGGUGGCUGGGCAGCGAGAUCUGCAGGCAUGGCAGUGAGAAACCCACCAAUGGACAGUGAAAAAAGGCACCUCCAGGCAGAGGAGGUGCAGAGGCUGCUGCAGAACGGGUGAUGGGACCUGUGGGCAUGGCCUCAUGGCGGCAGGCUCAUGGGGAUUGGGAAGGGCCCCCGAGGAGACUGAGAGCACAGGAAGUCAGCCUUAGGGGGAGUCCUGGGUCUGCACGGUGCAGAGAGCGGAGGAGGUAUUCCUCAAAGAAGUGACUACCAGGAAGCAAACAGAACAAUCUCAAUUAAAGGGCAGUAGUAGCACAGGACAAUACCAACCUUAACAUAUUCCAGGUGGUAAAGAAUAGAUGGCCUCCAACCAGGAGAGGAGCAAGUUACUGGAAGAGAUCCCUGGGAGGAGCAGUGGGAAUGGGAGUGUGGGUGCUUGAGAUGCAGCAUGGAGGGGAGGCCCUGUCGGCACUGCCUGGAGCACAGUGGGUACAUGAGCCCUCCAGGAGCACCUGCUUGAGCAGCUUCUGUUUUGGCAGCUCCCAGCUGUCAGAACCACCACUCUUUCAGGGCACUUGGGGAGUGUGACAGCAGGUCUUCCGCAGCAUCAGUUGUUUUAUUUCUGUGAAUAAGGUGAUUUAUGUAGGCCUAAUUAUGUACUAGCAACAGUAGUAGAAAACCUUGAGUACUGUGUUCAGUUUGGGGUGCCUCGCUACAAGAAGGACAACAAGGACCUGGAAUGUAUCCCGAGAAGGUCAGCAAAGCUGUAAGGGGUUUGGAGCACAAGUCUUAUGAGGAGCAACUGAGGGAACUGGGAUUGUUCAGAAGAGGAGGCUCAGGGAAGACCUUACUGUACUCUACAACUGCCAAAAGAAGGUUGUGGUGAAGGGGCGGUCAGCCUCUUCUCCAGAGUAACAGGGAUAGGAUGAGAGGUGAUGGCCUCACGUUGCGCUGGGGGAGGUUCACGUUGGAUAUUAGUAAACAGUUCUUCUCAGGAAAAGAGGUAGUGCAUUAGCACAGGCUGCCCAGGGAGGUGGUGGAGCCACCAUCCCUGGAGGUGUUCAAGGGAUGUGUACAUGUGGCACUGAGGGAUGUGGUCAGUGGGCAGUAUUGGUGAUAGGAGGACGGUUGGACUGGAUGAUCUUAGAGGUCUUUGGCAACCUGAAUGAUUCUAUAAUUCUAUGAUUCUAUGAAAAGAGAAACAGAAGAGAGAAGCUAUCUGUGUUUAACAAAACCAAUACACUGCCACCAGUGAUUAAAUGCUGACAUGCUGAACGUGUCUCACCCAAGGCUUGUAGGGACAAAGCAAACAGUGUGCUGUUUGUCUGCAGCCCAGCAAUCGAUGGCAAGCAUUUGUGGGAAAUAAACCAAUAAACCAGCACCCUGGCUCAGUGUAUUCCUUCCUUGCCAGGAAUAACAGGAGUUAUAGGGGAUGAGAAGCAUCCCUGGGAUGGUCACAGAAGCACAGCUUCUCCUUCAGGCCAGGACAGAUCAACGUGAAGGAGUAAUGCCUUCCCAAGGAAUAGUUUGUGAUGGAAGAGCUCAGGUCGUAAAGGAUUUGUUACUCCAAGUGACAUGCAUAAUUAAUGAAAUCUUUUCAAUUCUGUGAAAUAAAGAGCAAACACGAGUCCCCACACCCAAGCAAACACACAGAUAGGCUCUUGUGCAACUCCACCCCCCGUGGCUGCUUUCUGCCAACUUCCGCAAUGACUUAAUUUAAACAAAAUCCGAGGACAGGCACACUCAGUAACACCUCAGCGUAACCUCAGCCUGAGCUUCCUUUUAAAGUGGCAGGUCCCCGGGUCCUCCAAAGGUGUGUGUGCUUAUCAGCAUCACACCUUGUCGAAUGGAAGCCAGUGAG